Molecule: non-coding RNA, 1209 nt
Organism: Paramuricea clavata
Lineage: Eukaryota; Metazoa; Cnidaria; Anthozoa; Malacalcyonacea; Plexauridae
Source: the annotation of a GenBank genome assembly
GGAGUAUACAUAAUCUAUGAACCAGUAAAGCCGCGUCUUAAAAUCUAAAUUCGAUAAUAAGUGUUUUUCAGAAGUCAAAUGACAGAUUUCUUUGACAAAUCUAACCACUCACCAUAUUGGAUUGUCUCGAAAAUAAAUUGCCAAGACUUACAUUGACUUCUCCGACAUCAGCGAAGGACCGCAAGAAUAUUGAAGCAUUUUUUAUGUCACAAUUAUUAAAAACCGUGCACCUGGACUUGCACUCUGUCACUGUGCAGAACUAUGUUUUUACUGAGGGACAUGAAAUGGGAGCUGGUGUUCAAUCCCUUUUUUCAUCCAAAAUAUCGUCUGAAUGCCAGACAAUUGAACCAAUCAUUUGCCAAAUUCCAUUCUCAACAGUAACAUUGCUCUUACAAAUGGUACAAAUCCCAUUCUUAGUGAUCCAAUUUCAAAUUUCCCAGUGAGAAUAUAUGCUACAUACGUAUAUACCCAUUUUAUUGACCCCUUCAUGCACGAGUCUCAUUACUGAUACUACAUACCGGCCACGGAACUGUCUUCUUAAUUAUUAUUGUAGCUGCAUGUGUAUAGUGAAUGUUUUCUUCACUCAAAUGCAUAAUUUAGUGGUGAAAAAAUAUGUUUGAUCUAUAUUAUAAUUCAUAUGUUAAGCAUGCCCAUAUGAGUCCGUAGCGAAAUGAGGCAGGUAAUAAUAACUAUAAUAGUAUAACCUAGGGUAUAAUAAUAAUUACUGAACUAUCACACUGUUGUUGUGGAUUAUAUUGAGAAUAAAUUUAUCGCCGUAAAUCUCCAACUGUUCUAACACCAGUACUGCAGUAGGUGACAAAGCCGCUGGAGAUAUUCAAAUUGAUGAUAACGAUUAUAUAAGUGGUUAUAUACAAACACGGUUAAUAGGUAUAUUAAUUGUGAUACAACUUUCUAGCACGCUGAGUUUUAAAUCCGAAAAGUUCCCACUCCGUUGACCCGCAGUUUUCUCACAAAAUGCGAUUUUAUCUUCAAUAAUUAAUUUCACGACAUACUUUUCAUUGUUCCGAUCGGACCGAUUAUGUCACUCAAAAGGACCAGUUUCUAUUAACCAGUCUUCCUUUUACCAAAAGACCGGUUUUAAUUUGCUCGAAUCAUUUUGAGUUAUGCAAUCUAAUGCGUGCUGGACGUAAACAACAUUAUAUCUUGUCUACAACUUUGAGAAAGUACAGAUAACGCUUUCUAAUAUCC